RNAcentral lists this unclassified non-coding RNA (346 nucleotides) under soil metagenome. Its description in RNAcentral is "partial contains 5.8S ribosomal RNA, internal transcribed spacer 2, and large subunit ribosomal RNA". The stretch from base 1 to 119 matches the Rfam family "5.8S ribosomal RNA", at positions 35 to 154 of the family's 154-position model. The record is from RNAcentral.
GAUGAAGAACGCAGCGAAAUGCGAUACGUAAUGUGAAUUGCAAAUUCAGUGAAUCAUCGAGUCUUUGAACGCACAUUGCGCCCCCUGGUAUUCCGGGGGGCAUGCCUGUCCGAGCGUCAUUGCUGCCCUCAAGCACGGCUUGUGUGUUGGGCCCCGUCCUCCGAUCCCGGGGGACGGGCCCGAAAGGCAGCGGCGGCACCGCGUCCGGUCCUCGAGCGUAUGGGGCUUUGUCACCCGCUCUGUAGGCCCGGCCGGCGCUUGCCGAUCAACCCAAAUUUUUUAUCCAGGUUGAACUCGGAUCAGGUAGGGAUACCCGCUGAACUUAAGCAUAUCAAUAAGCGGAGGA